Molecule: ribosomal RNA, 372 nt
Filed under: uncultured organism
Description: bacterial SSU rRNA
Rfam family: Bacterial small subunit ribosomal RNA
Source: RNAcentral
CGGAGGUGGCAAGCGUUGUUCGGAAUUACUGGGCGUAAAGGGCGCGUAGGCGGCAAGGCAAGUCAGGUGUGAAAGCCCCGGGCUUAACUCGGGAAUUGCAUCUGAAACUGCUGUGCUUGAGUUCUGGAGGGGGUAGUGGAAUUCCCAGUGUAGCGGUGAAAUGCGUAGAUAUUGGGAGGAACACCUGCGGCGAAGGCGGCUACCUGGACAGAAACUGACGCUGAGGCGCGAAAGCUAGGGGAGCGAACGGGAUUAGAUACCCCGGUAGUCCUAGCUGUAAACGAUGGGCACUUGGUGUUGGGGGUAUUGAGUCCCCCAGUGCCGGAGUUAACACGUUAAGUGCCCCGCCUGGGGAGUACGGUCGCAAGACUG